CCUCGUAGUUAUACUUUCACUCAUUUAACAGUCAAGUUGAAUUUUUGUUGUAUUUUAGUGUGUUUUUUGUUCUUUUCUAGCAUAAGCUUGAAAACAACAUCCGGCCUUUUAAUCAUUCAGAAAUCACUUCCAUCAAUAUGUGGAAUAAAUACUGGUUAUGUAUUGCAGUUUUGGCAAUUUUGUUUGUCAGCCAGGUAGUGCAAGCAAACGAUUGUCCGGGCGAAGGUGUUUGUGUGGGAAAACGAUGAAAUGCUCACAAUAUUUAACAAAACUAGAAUAUGAGUCAUUGAAAUUGACUAUCAAUCGGAACUUUCAGUUGUUUUCUCUACUUCAACGAAUCAGCAACAAAAACCUAUCUUCUUAAGUAUGUAGAAUUGUAGAUAUGUAAUUACUAUAAUCAGUCUGUGAAAAAAUAUUCUACACACCUACAUACUUAAAUUUUAUUUCAGUCCACAAAUUAAAAAUCAAUUCCUUCUAUGUUUUUCAA
Planococcus citri (citrus mealybug) is the source of this 487-nucleotide long non-coding RNA. RefSeq lists it as uncharacterized. Lineage: Eukaryota; Metazoa; Arthropoda; Insecta; Hemiptera; Pseudococcidae. The transcript is spliced from 2 exons. The record is from RefSeq and is a predicted model, not a curated record.